Molecule: small nuclear RNA, 18 nt
Filed under: Arabidopsis thaliana (thale cress)
Lineage: Eukaryota; Viridiplantae; Streptophyta; Magnoliopsida; Brassicales; Brassicaceae
Description: snRNA_16188
Source: RNAcentral
AAGCCGGGUUACGGUGCC